RNAcentral lists this ribosomal RNA (1372 nucleotides) under Nocardia sp. WMMB229. Its description in RNAcentral is "bacterial SSU rRNA". It matches the Rfam family "Bacterial small subunit ribosomal RNA". Lineage: Bacteria; Bacillati; Actinomycetota; Actinomycetes; Mycobacteriales; Nocardiaceae. The record is from RNAcentral.
AUGCAAGUCGAGCGGUAAGGCCCUUCGGGGUACACGAGCGGCGAACGGGUGAGUAACACGUGGGUGAUCUGCCUCGUACUUCGGGAUAAGCCUGGGAAACUGGGUCUAAUACCGGAUAGGACCUCUUGUCGCAUGGCUUGGGGUGGAAAGAUUUAUCGGUGCGAGAUGGGCCCGCGGCCUAUCAGCUUGUUGGUGGGGUAAUGGCCUACCAAGGCGACGACGGGUAGCCGGCCUGAGAGGGCGACCGGCCACACUGGGACUGAGACACGGCCCAGACUCCUACGGGAGGCAGCAGUGGGGAAUAUUGCACAAUGGGCGGAAGCCUGAUGCAGCGACGCCGCGUGAGGGAUGACGGCCUUCGGGUUGUAAACCUCUUUCGACAGGGACGAAGCGCAAGUGACGGUACCUGUAGAAGAAGCACCGGCCAACUACGUGCCAGCAGCCGCGGUAAUACGUAGGGUGCGAGCGUUGUCCGGAAUUACUGGGCGUAAAGAGCUUGUAGGCGGUUUGUCGCGUCGUCUGUGAAAACUCACAGCUCAACUGUGAGCUUGCAGGCGAUACGGGCAGACUUGAGUACUGCAGGGGAGACUGGAAUUCCUGGUGUAGCGGUGAAAUGCGCAGAUAUCAGGAGGAACACCGGUGGCGAAGGCGGGUCUCUGGGCAGUAACUGACGCUGAGAAGCGAAAGCGUGGGUAGCGAACAGGAUUAGAUACCCUGGUAGUCCACGCCGUAAACGGUGGGCGCUAGGUGUGGGUUUCCUUCCACGGGAUCCGUGCCGUAGCUAACGCAUUAAGCGCCCCGCCUGGGGAGUACGGCCGCAAGGCUAAAACUCAAAGGAAUUGACGGGGGCCCGCACAAGCGGCGGAGCAUGUGGAUUAAUUCGAUGCAACGCGAAGAACCUUACCUGGGUUUGACAUACACCGGAAACCUGCAGAGAUGUAGGCCCCCUUGUGGUCGGUGUACAGGUGGUGCAUGGCUGUCGUCAGCUCGUGUCGUGAGAUGUUGGGUUAAGUCCCGCAACGAGCGCAACCCUUGUCCUGUGUUGCCAGCACGUAAUGGUGGGGACUCGCAGGAGACUGCCGGGGUCAACUCGGAGGAAGGUGGGGACGACGUCAAGUCAUCAUGCCCCUUAUGUCCAGGGCUUCACACAUGCUACAAUGGGCGGUACAGAGGGCUGCGAGACCGUGAGGUGGAGCGAAUCCCUUAAAGCCGUUCUCAGUUCGGAUCGGGGUCUGCAACUCGACCCCGUGAAGUUGGAGUCGCUAGUAAUCGCAGAUCAGCAAACGCUGCGGUGAAUACGUUCCCGGGCCUUGUACACACCGCCCGUCACGUCAUGAAAGUCGGUAACACCCGAAGCCGGUGGCCCAACCCU